This 456-nucleotide ribosomal RNA is filed under the name uncultured bacterium. Its description in RNAcentral is "bacterial SSU rRNA". It matches the Rfam family "Bacterial small subunit ribosomal RNA", at positions 28 to 507 of the family's 1533-position model. The record is from RNAcentral.
GAUGAACGCUGGCGGUAUGCCUAACACAUGCAAGUCGUACGAGGGUUUUUAACUCUAGUGGCGGACGGGUGAGUAACACGUGAGAAUUUGCCUUUAGGAGGGGGAUAACAAUCGGAAACGAAUGCUAAUACCCCAUAUGCUUUUGAGUGAAAUGGAUUUAUCCGCCUAAAGAGAAGCUCGCGGCUGAUUAGCUUGUUGGUAAGGUAAGAGCUUACCAAGGCGACGAUCAGUAUCUGGUUUGAGAGGAUGUCCCCCCACACUGGUACUGAGACACGGACCAGACUCCUACGGGAGGCAGCAGUAGGGAAUAUUGGACAAUGGGGGCAACCCUGAUCCAGCCAUUCCGCGUGCAGGAAUAAGGCCCUAUGGGUCGUAAACUGCUUUUGUAUGGGAAAAAAUCAUCUUACGUGUAGGAUGUUGAUGGUACCAUGAGAAUAAGGAUCGGCUAACUUCGUG